Molecule: ribosomal RNA, 467 nt
Filed under: uncultured bacterium
Lineage: Bacteria
Description: partial 16S ribosomal RNA
Rfam family: Bacterial small subunit ribosomal RNA
Source: RNAcentral
GACGAACGCUGGCGGCGUGCUUAACACAUGCAAGUCGAACGGAAAGGCCCUGCUUUUGUGGGGUGCUCGAGUGGCGAACGGGUGAGUAACACGUGAGUAGCCUGCCCUUGACUUUGGGAUAACUUCAGGAAACUGGGGCUAAUACCGGAUAGGAGCUCCUGCUGCAUGGUGGGGGUUGGAAAGUUUCGGCGGUUGGGGAUGGACUCGCGGCUUAUCAGCUUGUUGGUGGGGUAGUGGCUUACCAAGGCUUUGACGGGUAGCCGGCCUGAGAGGGUGACCGGCCACAUUGGGACUGAGAUACGGCCCAGACUCCUACGGGAGGCAGCAGUGGGGAAUAUUGCACAAUGGGCGGAAGCCUGAUGCAGCAACGCCGCGUGCGGGAGGACGGCCUUCGGGUUGUAAACCGCUUUCGCCUGUGACGAAGCGUGAGUGACGGUAAUGGGGAAAGAAGCACCGGCUAACUACGU